Molecule: ribosomal RNA, 468 nt
Filed under: uncultured bacterium
Lineage: Bacteria
Description: partial 16S ribosomal RNA
Rfam family: Bacterial small subunit ribosomal RNA
Source: RNAcentral
GACGAACGCUGGCGGCGUGCUUAAUACAUGCAAGUCGAACGGAAAGGCCCUGCUCUUGCGGGGUGCUCGAGUGGCGAACGGGUGAGUAACACGUGAGUAACCUGCCCUUGACUUUGGGAUAACUCCAGGAAACUGGGGCUAAUACAGGAUAGGAUCUCCUGCUGCAUGGGGGGGGUUGGAAAGUUUCGGCGGUUGGGGAUGGACUAGCGGGUUAUCAGCUUGAUGGUGGAGUAGGGGCUUACGAAGGCUUUGAAGGGUAGCCGGCCUGGGAGCGUGACCGGCCACAUUGGGCCUACGAGAGGGCCCAGAAGCGUACGUGAGGCAGCAGUCGAGAGUAUUGCAGAGCGGGCGGGAGUGUGAUACAGCGAUGCUGGGUGCGGGAUGACGUCCUUCGGGUUAUAAACCACUUUCGCCGGUGACGUAGCGUGAGUGACGGUAAUGGGUAAAAAAGCACCGGCUAACUACGUG